UAAGGAAUAUUGGACAAUGGGCGAAAGCCUGAUCCAGCCAUGCCGCGUGCAGGAAGAAGGCGCUAUGCGUCGUAAACUGCUUUUACACCGGAGAAAACCCCCUUUUGUGAAAGGGGCUGAUAGUAUGGUGAGAAUAAGCAUCGGCUAACUUCGUG
This 155-nucleotide ribosomal RNA is filed under the name uncultured bacterium. RNAcentral's name for it is "partial 16S ribosomal RNA". It matches the Rfam family "Bacterial small subunit ribosomal RNA", at positions 355 to 507 of the family's 1533-position model. The record is from RNAcentral.